AGAGUUUGAUCCUGGCUCAGAGCGAACGUUAGCGGCGCGCCUAACACAUGCAAGUCGCACGAGAAAGGGCUUCGGCCCCGGUACAGUGGCGCACGGGUGAGUAACACGUGGGUAACCUUCCCAAGAGUGGUGGAUAACCUGCCGAAAGGCGGGCUAAUACAGCAUACGACGGGCUGUCUUCGGACGGUUCGUGAAAGCAGGCCUCUGUACACAAGCUUGCGCUCAUGGAUGGGCUCGCGCCCCAUCAGCUAGUUGGCGAGGUAAUGGCUCACCAAGGCAUAGACGGGUAGCUGGUCUGAGAGGAUGGCCAGCCACACUGGAACUGAGACACGGUCCAGACUCCUACGGGAGGCAGCAGUGGGGAAUCUUGCGCAAUGGACGAAAGUCUGACGCAGCG
This 397-nucleotide ribosomal RNA is filed under the name uncultured bacterium. RNAcentral describes it as "bacterial SSU rRNA". It matches the Rfam family "Bacterial small subunit ribosomal RNA", at positions 8 to 393 of the family's 1533-position model. The record is from RNAcentral.